This 508-nucleotide ribosomal RNA is filed under the name Pachydactylus capensis. Its description in RNAcentral is "partial 16S ribosomal RNA". It matches the Rfam family "Bacterial large subunit ribosomal RNA", at positions 1922 to 2598 of the family's 2925-position model. The record is from RNAcentral. Lineage: Eukaryota; Metazoa; Chordata; Lepidosauria; Squamata; Gekkonidae.
GUUUAACGGCCGCGGUAUCAUAACCGUGCAAAGGUAGCGUAAUCACUUGUCUUCUAAAUAAAGACCUGUAUGAAUGGCAACAUGAAAGUCAAACUGUCUCCUGCACCCAAUCAAUGAAACUGAUCUCCCAGUACAAAAGCUGAGAUAUAACCACAAGACGAAAAGACCCUGCGGAGCUUCAAACCUACAGCUAAUUAAACAACAAACAAACCUACUUUUAGGCAUAGUCAAAAAUUACAAUAGCCUAAACUUUAAGUUGGGGCGACUAUGGAGUAACACACAACCUCCACGAAACCAGACUAACACCCUGACACACGGCCUACAAGCCCAGUACCAAAAUAUAGAUCCAGUAACACUGAUAAUCGGACCAAGUUACCCCAGGGAUAACAGCGCCAUCCCCCUUAAGAGUCCCUAUCGCCAGGGGGGCUUACGACCUCGAUGUUGGAUCAGGACACCCCAGCAGUGUAGCCGCUGCUAAAGGUUCGUUUGUUCAACGAUUAAUGUCCUA